This 292-nucleotide ribosomal RNA is filed under the name uncultured prokaryote. Its description in RNAcentral is "partial 16S ribosomal RNA". It matches the Rfam family "Archaeal small subunit ribosomal RNA", at positions 455 to 747 of the family's 1478-position model. The record is from RNAcentral.
GUGUCAGCAGCCGCGGUAAUACCGGCAGUGGGAGUGAUGGCCGAUCAAAUUGGGGUAUAGCGUCCGUAGCUGGCUGAACAAGUCGGUACCGAAAUCUGUCCGCUUAACGGGCAGGCGUCCAGCGGAAACUGUUCAGCUUGGGACCGGAAGACCUGAGGGGUACGUCUGGGGUAGGAGUGAAAUCCUGUAAUCCUGGACCGACCGCCGGUGGCGAAAGCGCCUCAGGAGAACGGAUCCGACAGUGAGGGACGAAAGCUAGGGUCUCGAACCGGAUUAGAAACCCCCGUAGUCC